This is a long non-coding RNA of Vespula vulgaris, 3855 nucleotides long. RefSeq lists it as uncharacterized. Lineage: Eukaryota; Metazoa; Arthropoda; Insecta; Hymenoptera; Vespidae. The record is from RefSeq and is a predicted model, not a curated record. The transcript has 3 exons.
CAUUCGUGCAUCGUUUAAAGAUCGUUUCUAUAAGGAAGCAUCGUAAAAUAUAAGAGGCUAUACUUUCAUAUUUUUAUUUUAUUUAUUUACUUUUAUUUUUCCUUUCCAAUAGAACAUUUCACGUCAUUUUUAUUUCGCGAUAGAACCUAAAGAAGAUUAAAUAACUUAAUGGAAAUAAAUUAUUUCGUAAGAUGUAGGAUUAUCGAUCGAUCGAAAUCUAUUCGUUGUUCAUCCUUCUGAAAACGGAAGCCAGAUCCAAAAACGGAGAAGAACUCGACCUUUGAUAUAUCCGUUCUCGAGUCGUCACGCUCUUGGCACAUGUUUCUUCUUCUUCGUCUACUUCUUCUUCUUCUUCUUCUACGUCUUCUUCUUUUUCUUCUUCUUCUUCUUCUUCUCCUUCCCUCGUCUUUUUCUAUUUUCUUACAUAGCUUACAUAUUCGCCAAUGCCAAGGUUACGAGACGAGCAAACAAUCGAGUUGGAAUCGGCCAAUCCGAACACGUACGUUUCGUGUUUGCUUAUGCGCUGACGAGCUCGCUGGACGGUGCGAGCCAAUGUACCUAUGUAUGUACGUAUGAGUUAAACUUAACAAAGACGAGAUCUAAGACGUAUAGACGUCAUUUUUUAUAAUAGAACGCAGAUCUUUUUAAUCUUUUUCAACGAAACAAGAACAGAUUGUAAAGAGAGGACGUUAAGCUAAUUCGUAUGUUACGUUCACGUGUAUUAGAAAAGUCUUAGUCGAUGUAACAUAUAACUUGUUCAAAUUUUUAAAUUUCUUCAAUUAUUAAAUUCGAUUGUAAUCGUCUAGUAGAAUUUGAUAUAAAAGGAGAAGGAAGAAAGGAGAAUAAGUAAGCGAAAGAAGUAAAGUUUUUAUAAAGCGUCUACGUACGUACACGAGGUCCGAUCGUAUUUUCGACUACUUUGAAAAGUAUUUCUCAGGUACAGACCUCGUCAUUCCCAACGUCUCGACGAAGUCGUCACGCACCUGCGUAACUCUGUGUACGGUUCGAUCAAUAAUCGUAUACGAUGAUCUUUCUUGACCUCUGGGUGGGGUCGUUGGAUAGGAGAGAUGGUAGGGGGUGAAAGGAGAUGCGGGGUGAGGCGGUUGUAUCUGGUCAGUCAACUCGUGGACACGAUGAGGAAAGACGUUCGAAUAAUUAAUUUCUAUUUCUGCUUACGGUCGUCCGAUCGUUAUAUAGCCUAUUGAAAAUUGACAUUCUUUUCAAGUACCGAUCGAUUGAUCGAUCGAUCCAUCGAUCGAUCGUAAGAAAUAUGUUCUAGAGACGAUUUAUGGAUUCGUGGAUAUUAUAUAUAUAUUUUUUUUAGAUCAAAUGAAAUAGAACAGUUUAUUAAAAUCCUAAGUCCUACGAGUGAUAUCCGCACGAUUGUCUUGUAUAUAUGUAUAAUAAAUGUGCAUAUAUAGGCGUGUAUGCGUAAAUGUGUUUAAAAACCUGUAUUUUGUAGGAGAGAUAGCGGUUGUAUUAUAUGUUAUAUUUUUUUUUCUGUUUUUUCAUAUUCAUUUUUUGUUUGUUCAUUUAUUUAUUUAUUUUUUAUUUUCUCCGUCUCUCUCUCUCUCUCUUUCUCUCGAUACAUACGAUACAAAUGCAUGCGGUCUCUAUUAGUUGGAGAACGAAGAAGAUGCUGCUCUCGACUCGUUAACCGGAAUUAGGACGGCAUUAGAAGCGGCGACAUCUCUCUCUCUCUCUCUCUCUCCCUCUCUCCCUUCUUAUUUCUCUCUUUCUCGAACGAGAUAAAAUUUCGCGAGGAAAUAGAAACGGGGAGAAAAAAGUAUGGAUAACGUAAUGAUACUCGUCGCGGAUGAGAUAUAAUGAAAGAGUCGGAAGAAAGAGAUGGAUAAAGAAAGGGAAACGAGAGCUUGAAUUAUUUACUUCUUGGAAUCCCAACAGGGAAGGAAGAAAAGAGAAGUGGGAGAAAAAAAAUAAAUUAAAGUUUACUCUUUAUUUUUCAAUAUGCACAUUAUAGACAUAUCUAUAUAUAAUAUUACAGACACACUAUAAUAUAUUUCUUAAACCAAAACUUUUUUAUAAAUUAAAUUAAUAAUGAUUUCUAUUUUUAUAAUAAUUUUUUUUUUGAUAAUAAUUCUUUUAUAAAUGAAAUUAUAAAUAAUUUAUACCAAUAUUUAUACCAAAAAAGAGAAAAGCAGAAAAAAAAAGGAAGAAAAAACGAAUCACCUUUUCGCAAAUGUCAUCCGUUCCAUCAGUCAGUCACAUGUUGGAAUUUAUUAAUCGAACAUACGGUAUCUCGUUUGCAAUCGAAGCGGACUGUGACCGAGGUCGUUCAUUAAUUAUCGCUCAUAACCGUUCACGUUAUUUCCAAUCGAUUUCGACGUGCUCCUCGUCUCUGGAUAAAAAUGACCAAGUCUCCCUCUCACUCUCUCUUUACCAGUCGUAAUUCUUCGAGCUGACGAUAGGUUUCAGCGAAGGAAAAAUGGGAAACCGGUAUUCGUAUUAGUAUCGAACGAUGGAUAUUGGCUGACUGUGAAAGGAUAGAAAAGGGAUAGACGACGAAGGAAGAAAAAGGAAGAAGAAAGAAAAGAAGGAGGAGGAAGACUAAAAAGAGUUAAAAAAAGAAUAAGAAGAGAAGAAGGGUGCUUUUCGUGCUGGCCACGACGAAAUAUGGGAGAGAUAAAUAUCAUCGUAGCGUGGUGUGUCGGUAAAUAACGGUAGAUUUAGCAAUUUCAUUAAGCCGGAGCUUGGGAGAGCAAAUCGAACGCGGUUCUCUCUUCCGAUAGAAAAGUUCCGCGCUUAAAGCAUCUUACUUGUUCCCUUCCCUAUAUCUUUCUCUCUUUCUAUACAUAUAUAUAUAUAUAUAUAUAUAUAUACAUACAUACAUAUAUACCCCUCUCAGAAAGUACCACAGCUAUCCCACGGCACGUACGAAGUGAAGUUACAAACGUUUAAUGGUCGCUUUUCCGCACGGUUUCUUCCCCCUUUUCUCCUUUUUCCUAUUUCCUUUUUCCCUCUCUUUCUCUGUCCGUCUUUCUCUCUCUACGUUUCUCGCUAGUUUUCCUUUUCAGCUUUUCUCUUGUUCUUUAAUUCGGCAUACGACUCUAACGGGGGUGACUCUCUUCUACCAUCUUGCUUUUUUAAUAUCCGACGUAGUAAAAAUUUCCACUUUCUCAUCGGGCUGUAAAUCCCUUUUUUCUUCUUCUUCUUCUUCUUCUUUUUUGUCCCGUAUAAAACAACUACAGAUCGUAAAGCGAAUCGUCACUUUUACGAUUUACUUUUGAACGUCAAUAAACCAAUGAUGGAGAAACGUCGAUGGAGUAAACGAUAUUUAAAAAAAAGAAAAAAAAAAAUACAAAACUUGGUGACAGGGGAAGACAAACCGAAGGCAAAAGGAAAGGGAAAAAAAAAAUCGAAAGGAUACUUUUUGCUCUAGGAUGAAGCAAUUUGAUUUUCAUCGUACGGUAUCUCGCGAUGUUUCGAUGAUUUAAAAAAAGAAAAAUAUAUAUAAAAAAAAAGAAAAAUAAUGAUUAAACAAAAAAAAGAAAAACAAAGAAAAAAAAAGACAGAAAAGAAAAAAGAAAUGUUUAUCGGACCGAGACGAGACGGGCGUUAGAGGAGAAAAUUGAUUUCAAGCUGGUCGAAAAGAAUUUUCUAUUUUCGCGUAGAGAGUUGCCCGUUCGAUAUAUCGACGUGUUAUAGAAGGAGGACCGGUGGGAAAUCAAAUCUCCCGCCGUGAUAAUUGGUCGGCAUUGAUUAACCAACGUGAUUGUAGGCUUCCGCAAGGUCUGUACGAGGAUAGAGAGAGAUAGAUAGAGAGAGAGAGAUAGAUAGAUAGAUAGAUAGAUAGAUAGAUAGAUAGAUAGAUGGAGAGAGAGAGAGAGAGAGAGA